GCCUUUUAUAAGCCUUGUCUGUCAGUCAUUAACUGUGGGCUGAUCCCCAGUCUGUCCGUCAUUAAUGAACUGCAGGAACUUCGGGCUGAUCCUGGAAUGGGGUGGGGCAGGGGGAGCCAGUGAUCCAGUUCAGCCCAGAGUGCUUCUUCAGAGAGGGGGCAUCUGUGAGCCACUGACAACUGAUACUUUCAGACUCUGGGGAUGGGUUCUCUGCCUGCUGAGGGGAUCUGGGUUUGGGGUACUAGCAGCAUCCAAUACAGAAGGUCUUAUCACUCGUAUUUAAUAUUUCCCCAUUGUUGUAACAGACAUUUACUGGUUCCUGGGCUUAGCACUGGCGAUUCAUAAGAGAACAAGUCUGAUGUGUUCUCUGCUAUCAGGAAACCUAUAUUCUAGUGGUGGGGAAAAGCCAACAGGUUAUCACAACAGAUUAUUGAAACCCAGUGUAAACAAAGUGUGACAGUUGGGAAGGACAGGGGGCUGUGGGAGCACAGAUGAGUCCCCUGGUUCAGGCUUAGGGUAGUAGAGGUCAAGGAUGACUUCCCGGAGGAAGUAACGUAAAGCCCAGUCCUAUGGUAUGAGUAGGAAUUAUCCAGGUGAAGAGUUGGGAACGGCGUUCCAGACAAAGGGAACAGCAUGUGCAAAGGUCCAGAGACAAGAGAACCACAGUGCUUUCUGGAGACUGAUUGUCCUGAAAUACUAUUUUACUUCACAGACUUCCAUAUCUCUUCAGGACCUUGAGCACUGCCCUGUCUUUUUGCAGCUCCCAGGAGACCUUAUCUGUCAUUUUCCUGGUCAUCUUUGCUGAAGCUCCUGCUGUUUGUUCCAUAUUAAUUGUACACAAAGGAUCUCAUGAUCCUCUUAGGGCCAUCAUGGGCCAAGGGCUCAGAUUUUGUCCAUGGAAGGCUCUGCUAUGGGAGGAAGGUGACCUUUGUUUUAGUUCUAACUCUAUCAUUAGCUCCCUGUGUGUCCUUGGAGAAGUCACUGCCCUCUCUGGGCCUCCUUGAGAGGAGGAGAAUAGACAGAUAGGACCUGGCUCACUGUCACUCUUCCCUCAGUUACUUUUGUUGUAAUUCUUGGGGGUUGCAACAUGCACUGUUAGCUCGCACAUGCCUGAUGUGUAGCAUGUGUGCAAAAAGCAUUUGCUGUGUGAAUGAGCAACGUCCACAUGCGUGCUCCUUCUGUCCGUUUUUUGUCCUGCUCUUCUCUAGUGAUCUUGUCCUCAUUCCCCACAUGACUCCCCCCAUCGCAUCCCCCGUAACCAACUUCUCCCCGCCGGGUUUUCAUGUUAAGGCUCCCUCUCCUUUAUUACCACUGCUUCUCUUUCCAGGUCACCCACUGCCCCAAGUUUCAUCAUCUUCAGGCCUCCCAAAACCUUGAACCUAUUGGUUCAACCACCUUUUCACUCCCCUUUUCCAGCAUGUCUCCCCACCCUCCACCACAUCCCUUCCCCAUCAUCAUAUCUUCCUCACUCUCCACCACAUCCCUUCCCCAUCAUUAUGUCUCCCCCACCUUCUGUCACAUCCUCACAUCCCUUCUUCCUAGCUUAGAUUCCAGGCUCACAUUGUAAUCACUUCCUUUCAAACACUCACUCGCUUGCUUUCCUCUUCCACCUUCACACUUACCCAGAUAAAUCCCAACCUCCGUGAGAUCCAACUCUCCACCUGCACCCUCAAGCUGAACGAAGCUGGAAAAAUCCACACAAUUGUGCAGGCUAAUUGUGUUGAAUUCCUGACCACUGACCUCUGGGGGUCCCAAUGGUGCUAGUGGAUCCUACUUCACCUCCAGAGUCCUGAAUGACUCCCCCACAGUCCUGUGUGAUGACUUCACACCUUCUCUCUCCUUUGACCUUCAACACCACCUUCCCCAACUUAAAUCUCAGCUGAUGACCUUCCUUCUGGUCUGAGUGAGUAAGCAGAAGCAAUUGGAAGGAAGUCUAUGAAUUGCUUCUGCUU
Molecule: long non-coding RNA, 1952 nt
Filed under: Homo sapiens (human)
Lineage: Eukaryota; Metazoa; Chordata; Mammalia; Primates; Hominidae
Description: HSALNT0266936
Source: RNAcentral